Molecule: ribosomal RNA, 253 nt
Filed under: uncultured bacterium
Lineage: Bacteria
Description: partial 16S ribosomal RNA
Rfam family: Bacterial small subunit ribosomal RNA
Source: RNAcentral
CGAAGGUGCAAGCGUUAAUCGGAAUUACUGGGCGUAAAGCGCGCGUAGGUGGUUCGUUAAGUUGGAUGUGAAAGCCCCGGGCUCAACCUGGGAACUGCAUCCAAAACUGGCGAGCUAGAGUACGGUAGAGGGUGGUGGAAUUUCCUGUGUAGCGGUGAAAUGCGUAGAUAUAGGAAGGAACACCAGUGGCGAAGGCGACCACCUGGACUGAUACUGACACUGAGGUGCGAAAGCGUGGGGAGCAAACAGGAUU